This is a ribosomal RNA of 463 nucleotides. It matches the Rfam family "Bacterial small subunit ribosomal RNA", at positions 49 to 495 of the family's 1533-position model.
CUAUACAUGCAAGUCGAGCGAAUCAAUUGGAGCUUGCUCCUUUUGAUUAGCGGCGGACGGGUGAGUAACACGUGGGCAACCUGCCCUGCAGAUGGGGAUAACUCCGGGAAACCGGGGCUAAUACCGAAUAAUCAGUUCCUUCGCAUGAAGGAACUCUGAAAGACGGUUUCGGCUGUCACUGCAGGAUGGGCCCGCGGCGCAUUAGCUAGUUGGUGGGGUAAUGGCCUACCAAGGCAACGAUGCGUAGCCGACCUGAGAGGGUGAUCGGCCACACUGGGACUGAGACACGGCCCAGACUCCUACGGGAGGCAGCAGUAGGGAAUCUUCCACAAUGGACGAAAGUCUGAUGGAGCAAUGCCGCGUGAGUGAAGAAGGUUUUCGGAUCGUAAAGCUCUGUUGCGAGGGAAGAACACGUACGGGAGUAACUGCCCGUACCUUGACGGUACCUCGUCAGAAAGCCACG